This 436-nucleotide ribosomal RNA is filed under the name uncultured bacterium. RNAcentral's name for it is "partial 16S ribosomal RNA". It matches the Rfam family "Bacterial small subunit ribosomal RNA", at positions 29 to 507 of the family's 1533-position model. The record is from RNAcentral.
GCGAACGCUGGCGGCAGGCUUAACACAUGCCAGUCGAGCGGGCAUCCUUGUGGUGUCCGCGGCAGACGGGUGAGUAACGCGUGGGAACGUGCCCUUCGGUUCGGAAUAACUCAGGGAAACUUGAGCUAAUACCGGAUACGUGCGAGAGCAGAAAGGUUUAUCUGCCGAAGGAUCGGCCCGCGUCUGAUUAGCUAGUUGGUGAGGUUAUGGCUCACCAAGGCGACGAUCAGUAGCUGGUCUGAGAGGAUGAUCAGCCACACUGGGACUGAGACACGGCCCAGACUCCUACGGGAGGCAGCAGUGGGGAAUAUUGGACAAUGGGGGCAACCCUGAUCCAGCCAUGCCGCGUGAGUGAUGACGGCCUUAGGGUUGUAAAGCUCUUUUCUUCGGGACGAUAAUGACGGUACCGGAGGAAUAAGCCCCGGCUAACUUCGUG